Molecule: transfer RNA, 77 nt
Filed under: Escherichia coli
Lineage: Bacteria; Pseudomonadati; Pseudomonadota; Gammaproteobacteria; Enterobacterales; Enterobacteriaceae
Description: tRNA-Gln
Rfam family: tRNA
About the family: Transfer RNA (tRNA) molecules are approximately 80 nucleotides in length. Their secondary structure includes four short double-helical elements and three loops (D, anti-codon, and T loops).
Source: RNAcentral
CCGCCAUUAGCUCAUCAGGAUAGAGCGCCAGCCUUUGAAGCUGGUUGCGCGGGGUUCGAGUCCUCGAUGGCGGUCCA